This 578-nucleotide long non-coding RNA is filed under the name Pan troglodytes (chimpanzee). RNAcentral's name for it is "lincRNA". The record is from RNAcentral. Lineage: Eukaryota; Metazoa; Chordata; Mammalia; Primates; Hominidae.
AACCUUUGCUGUCUUGGAACAGAUCACCACUGCAAGAGGGGAAGUUGCUACUGUGAUGAAUUCUGCCAUGUGGUACCAGACUGCUACCCAGACCACAGUGUCCUCUGCAACCCUCGUAACUCACAUACAGGCCUGAUUCCACCUACAGCAAAGCUGGAUGCUAUGGUUGGCAGAGGCAAACCCUUUGCCUGCACUUCAGGCCAAAGCCGGGAUGUGGCCUAGAUGGUUCCUAAGGUCCCUGACAAUCCUGAGAUCUUGCAUCUUGUCUAUUUCAGGUCAAAGCUUCUCAGAUGACCAAGAUGGUGCUGCAGAUGGUGCUGAGGAUGGAGAACCCACCAAGCCCCGCUAGGAGCCACCUAGACUGGAUGUAGAGCAUGGCUAAAACCUUUGAAGAGGAAUUUAUUAUAUCCUACAAACCUGGGAGGCAGAGGUUGCAGUGAGCCAAGAUUGGGCCAUCGCACUCCAGCCUGGGCAAUAAGAAUGAAACUCUGUCUCAAAAAAACAAAAGUUGGCUAGGGCUGGGCGUGGUGGCUCACACCUGUAAUCCCAGCACUUUGGGAGGCUAAAGCAGGUGGAUC